Molecule: long non-coding RNA, 2580 nt
Organism: Leopardus geoffroyi (Geoffroy's cat)
Lineage: Eukaryota; Metazoa; Chordata; Mammalia; Carnivora; Felidae
Exons: 2
Source: RefSeq, a predicted model, not a curated record
AUGUGGGGCUUGAACUCACAAACCUUAAGAUGAUGACCUGAGUUGAAGUCAGAAGCCACCCAGGCACCCUGAAGAAGUUUCGUUGGAGCUGCUCUAGGGACUCUAUGAAGCUCGGGACACUCUUCACCAGCUGGGAAGGAACACGUAUCUGCUCUUCAGGAAAUGCUGCCCUUUGGGUGGAAAAGGACUGGUUUCCUGGCAAUGCCAGAAUGAAGAUCCUUCUCUGCUGGAAACAAACAAAACCCCUUUAUCUGGGGAACUUCCUAUUUCCUCCACUGAAAGCUGUGGUUCUCAAACAUGGGGCAUUAUGCCAGGGGCACAUGAAAUCAUAGGAUAAACUGGGCACAUCUUCCUAGAUGUUACUUGGAACUUUGGGGGAAAUUGUCUCGAAUUUUUCUUCCUCAUCAAAACCACUGCCGCAUGUGGGUUGAAGAGUCAAAUUCACGUGGCAUUUAAAGAUUAAACAGGAGAUAUAAAAAUUUCAUGCUUCUGGUAAGCUGCUUUGGGUUAUGUCUUCAAAAUUCCUGGGGUGUCUUUCUACUGCUCUGCUGUCAGGAAGUACUUCAGUGGAGAAUUUUGAGAAGCAUAGAAGGCGUUCCCUGGAAAUGACAGACCGCUACAAGUUUCACCCAGUGAAUUCAGCACCUUGGGCUGAUUUAAUGAAGUUGGAAAAAACUUUGAAAUAUUAAUGGAGAUUGCUUUCCUCCCCAUCCCUUAAAGUUACCCAAUGCCUCCACUUAUGCUGUUAUUAAUUCAUUGCCUGGGGAGCAUUUGGAUUGUUAAAGCAGAAAGGUAAAGACAAAGAAACAGGGUUUCUAUCGAGAUUUAUAUAUGAAUUUAUAUAUAAAUUCAUAGCAGAGACCAGCAAGUCUUUUGGUUUGUGAGAGUUGGGUAUUGAACAUCAAAAGCAAAUCUCUUUGAAGGGAUCAGUGUGUCCUGGGUUGAAGUGUGUUUCCCCCACAAUUUGUAUGUUGAAAUCCUAACCCCCAGUACCUGAGAAUGUGACCUUAUUUGGAGAUGGGAAGUUACAGAGGUAAUCAACUUAAAAUGAGGUCUUUAGGAUGGGCUCUAGUCCAAUGUGCCUGGUGUCCUUAUGAAAGAGGAGAGGGAGUUUGGACACAGAGAUGCAUAGAGGGAAGAUCCUGUGAAGACACCUAGGGAGAAGAUGACCAUGUAUAAGCCAAGAAGAGAGGCCUGGAACAGACCCUUUGCUAAGCCCUCAGAAGAACUAACCUUGCCAAUACUUUGAUUUUGAACCUUAGCCUUCAGAACUGUAGACAAUAAAUUUGUUUUUUCUUUUAAGCCCUCCAGUUUACGGCAGUCCUGGCAAACACGAGGGAUGAAGUUAUGCCAUAAACCACAGAUUGGAAAUACUGUAUGUCCUGAAAUCUAAGAUGUUAUGAGUUGUAGGAUACACCCCAGUUUAAGAGUUGUCUAUGUGUAAAGAGACGUACAUCCUAGAAUCAAUAAAUAUGGCAGUGUAGAUGAGGGGCAAAAGUACCUUGUUCUAUAAACUAAACACGAACUAAGCAGAGAUUGGGAAGAACUGGAGGAGACGUGCUAGAGCUUAUAUUGCCAUGGGUUCAGGGAAAGCGAUCUAGUGGCCUGUCUUUAUGCCAUAAGCUGCUGUUCCCCAGGAUGAAGCCUUGUAGAGGAGUACUUUGUGUCAUCAUGGGAUAGCACCAGUGAGAGUACAAAAGGACAAGGUAACAAAUCUAAGAUUGAGAUUAGAGAGUAUCACAGAACAGGGUCCCAAAUUCCUGGUCUUCAAGAUAGUCUUGAAAGAGAGAAAUGGGGGAAGACACUGAGAGCAAGUGAGCCAGUGAACCCAAAGGAGCGUGUGGUUGACGUUAAAAGGAUGCAGAUGACCCUUCUAGAACUGAUGCUUGAAGGCCAACAUGAGAACCAAGGACAUCGGUGAAGGAUUUGGUGGGCAUAGAGACCAAUGACCAAAGAUUAGGUAGGAGGAAGGCAGUGCGAUAGAAGCCAGGGCAGGCACCAGGUGCCCAAAUGCCUGAGCCGUGUUUGAUAGAACCUUGGCAAGAAGGAUGAUAGAGGUGUGAUAUUUUGAAAUCACCAAGUCUAAGCUUGAAAUUAUUACUCUUACCCAGGAGUGACUGGGUUUACCUGAAAAUAACCUGGGUUGAAUUUUCUGACUUUGGAGGGAAUUGAGGAGGUAGGUCAAGACAAAUUAAUUCUGGUUAAAAUCAAUUUGAGAAAAGUGUAUUUGACUUUAUACGCUCAUACUUGUCUAGAUUUAAUGUGUUUUUUUUUUUACUCAGUAUACCAGUUUUCACUUAUAACCCAUUGCCUACCCCUCCUCCCACAUUAUAUGGAUUUCACUUGCACCAAGAACAGUCAAUUGUUUGUCUUAUCCAUUUCCCCUUGGUUUCCUAACCUGCUUUGAGUUACAGACCACUUGAGAGUGUGAUGGAAAGUAUGACUAUUUCUGUAGAAAUGUGCAUGUGUGUGCACAUCCAUAUCAAAUUUGGCAUGAAAUUUCAGGGACUUCCCAACCACUCUAAAACCCCUCACACUGUCAAAAAAUGGAAAUAAAAAGUAGAUUUGUGUUAAUAGAAA